AAGUCGUAACAAGGUUUCCGUAGGUGAACCUGCGGAAGGAUCAUUAACACGUAUCCGAACGUAAAAAAAACCCUGUGCAUCUUCAUUGGUUGGUUUGCGAACGACUCUAGCGCCAGCCUGCAAUAAUUACUGACCUGGCACUCUAAGCAAUCAAUGUUCUGUCAGUGUACAUUGGUUGUAACGGGUGGCGGCUUCACCGAUCGUUAGAGGCCCACACGGCCGACGACUG
Molecule: unclassified non-coding RNA, 229 nt
Filed under: fungal sp.
Lineage: Eukaryota; Fungi
Description: partial internal transcribed spacer region
Rfam family: Eukaryotic small subunit ribosomal RNA (bases 1-46)
Source: RNAcentral